CGGACGGGUGAGUAAUGUAUGGGGAUCUGCCUGAUGGCGGGGGAUAACUACUGGAAACGGUAGCUAAUACCGCAUAAUGUCUGCGGACCAAAGCGGGGGACCUCCGGGCCUCGCGCCAUCAGAUGAACCCAUAUGGGAUUAGCUAGUAGGUAAGGUAACGGCUUACCUAGGCGACGAUCCCUAGCUGGUCUGAGAGGAUGACCAGCCACACUGGAACUGGGACACGGUCCAG
This 232-nucleotide ribosomal RNA is filed under the name uncultured bacterium. RNAcentral's name for it is "partial 16S ribosomal RNA". It matches the Rfam family "Bacterial small subunit ribosomal RNA", at positions 99 to 334 of the family's 1533-position model. The record is from RNAcentral.